Molecule: ribosomal RNA, 349 nt
Filed under: uncultured rumen bacterium
Lineage: Bacteria
Description: partial 16S ribosomal RNA
Source: RNAcentral
UAUUCCCCACUGCUGCCUCCCGUAGGAGUCUGGUCCGUGUCUCAGUACCAGUGUGGGGGAUAAGCCUCUCAGCUCCCCUAGACAUCGUCGGCUUGGUGGGCCGUUGCCCCGCCAACUACCUAAUGUCACGCAUGCCCAUCCACUACCACCGAAGCUUUAGUUGCCUCCCCAUGCGGGAAAACAACACCAUGGGAUAUUAGUGGAAGUUUCCCUCCGUUAUCCCCCUGUAGUGGGUAGGUUGCAUACGCGUUACGCACCCGUGCGCCGGUCGCCGCCAAGGUAUUGCUACCUCGCGCUGCCCCUCGACUUGCAUGUGUUAAGCCUGCCGCCAGCGUUCAUCCUGAGCCAA